UUUUUUUUUUUGAAAAACAAAAUGAUAAGGCCUUGACUGGAAAAAAAAAAAAUCAUCAGAAACCACUGACUGAACAUGGUACCAGUCAGAUACCUAAACAGUAGAGAAAGUUAUAAUAAAAGGUUAAGAUUGGUAAUCCUCCCUAUCAGCUGUUGAUACUCGGCAACCCUCAAAGACCACUUUACAUAAGUUACCCAAAAAGCAAAAACCGACAAAUAAACAGAUGAAAAGAGUUCAAUUGUCUGCAUCACCAUCUUCUUCAUCAUCUUCGUCGUCGUCAUCAUCUUGUUCAUCAUCGUCCUCUUCAGAUUCAUCACCAUCCUUGUCCCCUUCGUCAGCUUCAUCUCCCUCAAACUCAUCAUCAGGAUCAGUGUUGAAAUAAGAGAGAGGAUUAGGCCAUAAAUCUUCUUUGAUAACAUCUGCAAUCUCAUCCUG
RNAcentral lists this unclassified non-coding RNA (435 nucleotides) under Hevea brasiliensis (rubber tree). Lineage: Eukaryota; Viridiplantae; Streptophyta; Magnoliopsida; Malpighiales; Euphorbiaceae. The record is from RNAcentral.